CUUGAGCGAACCCAGCCACAGGGGCCGGUCGACAGGCCGUUCACGGCCGUAGGCGGCCAGCAGGGCCUGCGCCUC
RNAcentral lists this antisense RNA (75 nucleotides) under Nocardiopsis sp. CNZ308. RNAcentral describes it as "ASpks TB sRNA". It matches the Rfam family "ASpks TB sRNA". The record is from RNAcentral. Lineage: Bacteria; Bacillati; Actinomycetota; Actinomycetes; Streptosporangiales; Nocardiopsidaceae.